CGCUCACACACUCGCAGACACCAUCUCUGAGAGACAUACACGAUUCAAAACUACUGGAAAGCCGAAAAGCUGGGUAUUGGAAAAAAAACGCCCUCUAGCCAAGCAGCAGAAGAUGGGGGGCGGUGGCAGAUUUCCAGAUCAGCAACAUUCUCCUACGGGCUAAAAGCGAUGUCAUUUAUAAAAGAAUCAUGAAGAGUGAAGAUCCCAAAACAGAUCCCAGAGGCACACCGCUGAUCUCCGACCUCCAUGCAGAAUAUGACCCAUCUACAGGCACGGUGGACAACCACAUCUAUGGGCAAACGAGUUCUGAAUCCACCAAAAUAGAGUUGUUAACAGGGAUGCAUCAACAGGAAAGGCGCUUGUUAUCUCUUUAAACCUCACGAUGAUGCGAAGAUAGAAUUCUGAAACAAUGGUUCAAAGCUGCUGGAAAUGAGCUCAAUCGAGGAGGAAGUUUGUGCGAGAGCAUGUGAGGAUGACUCCACAGUAUCCGGGGCCUGACAAAGUUCGGCUUCAAACACACCGUCCCAUUACACACUCCC
Hypanus sabinus (Atlantic stingray) is the source of this 539-nucleotide long non-coding RNA. RefSeq lists it as uncharacterized. The record is from RefSeq and is a predicted model, not a curated record. NCBI's taxonomy places the organism in Eukaryota, Metazoa, Chordata, Chondrichthyes, Myliobatiformes, Dasyatidae. The transcript is spliced from 4 exons.